AUACGGAGGAUCCGAGCGUUAUCCGGAUUUAUUGGGUUUAAAGGGUGCGUAGGUGGUUUGAUAAGUCAGCGGUGAAAGUUUGCAGCUUAACUGUAAAAAUGCCGUUGAAACUGUCGGACUUGAGUGUAAAUGAGGUAGGCGGAAUGCGUGGUGUAGCGGUGAAAUGCUUAGAAAUCACGCAGAACUCCGAUUGCGAAGGCAGCUUACCAAGCUACAACUGACACUGAAGCACGAAAGCGGUGGGGAUC
This 248-nucleotide ribosomal RNA is filed under the name uncultured bacterium. RNAcentral describes it as "partial 16S ribosomal RNA". It matches the Rfam family "Bacterial small subunit ribosomal RNA", at positions 523 to 769 of the family's 1533-position model. The record is from RNAcentral.